Molecule: ribosomal RNA, 376 nt
Filed under: uncultured bacterium
Lineage: Bacteria
Description: bacterial SSU rRNA
Rfam family: Bacterial small subunit ribosomal RNA
Source: RNAcentral
GACGAACCUUGCAAACGUUAUUCGGAAUUACUGGGCUUAAAGGGUGCGUAGGCUGUGCAGAAAGUUGGGUGUGAAAUCCCUCGGCUCAACCGAGGAAUUGCAUUCAAAACUACUGUGCUAGAGGAAUACAGAGGUAAGCGGAACUUAGGGUGGAGCGGUGAAAUGCGUUGAUAUCCUAAGGAACACCGGUGGCGAAAGCGGCUUACUGGGUAUUUUCUGACGCUGAUGCACGAAAGCUAGGGUAGCGAACGGGAUUAGAUACCCCGGUAGUCCUAGCCGUAAACGAUGAGCACUGGGUUGGAGGGUCCUCCAUAGCCUUCCAGCCGCAGCGAAAGUGUUAAGUGCUCCGCCUGGGGAGUAUGGUCGCAAGGCUGAA